AUACGGAGGGUGCAAGCGUUAUUCGGAAUCACUGGGCGUAAAGGACGCGUAGGCGGGUUGGCAAGUCAGAUGUGAAAUGCUACAGCUUAACUGUAGAACUGCAUUUGAAACUGCUAACCUAGAGUAUGGGAGGGGGAGAUGGAAUUAGUGGUGUAGGGGUAAAAUCCGUAGAUAUCACUAGGAAUACCGAAAGCGAAGGCGAUCUCCUGGAACAUAACUGACGCUAAGGCGUGAAAGCGUGGGGAGCAAACAGGAUUAGAAACCCUAGUAGUCC
This 274-nucleotide ribosomal RNA is filed under the name uncultured bacterium. RNAcentral describes it as "partial 16S ribosomal RNA". It matches the Rfam family "Bacterial small subunit ribosomal RNA", at positions 523 to 796 of the family's 1533-position model. The record is from RNAcentral.